Long non-coding RNA from Gasterosteus aculeatus aculeatus (three-spined stickleback), 7343 nucleotides. NCBI's taxonomy places the organism in Eukaryota, Metazoa, Chordata, Actinopteri, Perciformes, Gasterosteidae. The record is from Ensembl.
AUACAGGACAUUGUGUAGCCUCGGCCUCCUGCUCUGUCUUGUGUGUCUGUCUGUCAGCCUGUCUGUCACACUUGCUGUUGCACGAUGCCCUUGACAUCUUGAGUGUGAUUUGUGACACGCUGAAGCUCCUGCAGGCUUUGAGUGCACAUGCGUCUGAGGGGGGCGUGUGGGGGGGGCGUCCCGGCGUGUGUGUGUGUGUGGGGGGGGCGUCCCGGCGUGUGGUAACUUUGGACGGCAAUUUGAAAUAUUAAACUGGCCUUAACGACUGACAGCCCUCCAACACGCAUGCACGGCUCCGCUUGCAAACACACGCCCACACGUGUUCAAGCCUUGACAGUAAGUAGCUUUGCUCAGCACACACUCCCAUGUGUGUGUGUGUGUGUGUGUGUGUGUGUGUGUGUGUGUGCGCGACACAAGGUUGGAUUUGGACUUGUUUUUAAUCAGUGGGAUUUUGCAAAUGGCCUCAGGCUUCUCCAAGGGACUAAUUAGUGAUGUGACUCCGGCAUAAUAAAUAAACACACACACACACAAGCCGAGCAGCAACGCAGCAUCAUAACGCACACACAUGAACAGUAAACGCACACAGAAGAGAGGAGUUAGAGGACAGUCAGGAAUGAACCGAUCAGAUGGAGAAAGUGUGCAUGUGCUGAUCCACAGUAUUUCCCCUAAUGUCUUCCAUUUCUCUCUUUGUCGCCUUUCUAGUUUGUUUUUAUCAAGUUUUCACAUGUGUAUCGCUCCCUCUGUCUCACACAGACACACACACACACACAUACACACACAAACACACACACAAAUUCAGCUCUUUAAUGUGUUGACAGCCUGCGCCCGAGUGAGAGCAGAAGGUUGACGGCCUAAGAGAAUUCCUCAGGCUUUUCCACAUUGCACCUUAAUGCGCACACACACACACACACACACAUUCUGGCUGUGUAAACCAGAGAGAUUAGCAGCUCAUUACCAUACCACAGGGGGGCUACACACUGGGGAGUGUGUGUGUUUCUGUGUAUAUGUGUGUGUGUUGUGUGUGAUUGCCAGCCCACCUCAGAGCCUUGUCUUCUGGUCAUAACAACAACUGUUCCAUAAUGUGUGUGUGUGUGUGUGUGUGUGUGUGUGUGUGUGUGUGUGUGUGUGUGUGUGUGUGUGUGUGUGUGUGUGCGCGUAGGAGAAUGAAAGUGUCUUUAAUCAGGAGGAAUAAAACAGAGGCCACAGAGAAUUACUGAAUAUGUUUUCAUCGCCAGACAAUUAUCAGAUUAAACAAAUCCAACUCGUUAAGCAGCUAAUCCGUCCAUCCAAUCAGCAGGGAGGACGGAGGCAGCAACACCUGCUCCCAGCGGUGACCUCCGACAGAUGUGGAGAUGAUCCACUUCCCAAAUCCGAGGGAGGAUUGUUUCAUCCUUUUGAAGUCUGGUGUUUGGCAUAAAAAAGGGGAACGUGACCCAGUUUACAAAGUCUACAUUUCCUGCUUAUUUGGGGGAGUUGAUGAGGCUUUACACACCUGCCAAGCAAAGAAAUGCAGAACAGGUGAAAUGCAGCCACAGUUCGGCUUUAUUUAUUUGUUGGUCCGGUGCAGGAUGUUGAACCAGCAAACCAUCUAAACAAUGCCAGCGGCUCUGUGAGUCCUUUGGGCUAAAUAAUGACAAUGCUGGCAAGCCAUGUUAGCAGAUAUUGGUCAAUAAAGAGUCAGCGUAUCGCCAAGUCCUCCUGAAGAGAGAACAUCUGGAUUCAAAUGUAAAGAUAGAAGUUGAGAUUUUAUUCUGGUCCAAAGUGGUGGAGCCGUUCUGUCGGUCGGUUCAACCACUUGAACCCGGCGUGGACUCCAUGUGCCCAGUGGUUAUAUAUGGUGUAGGUACUCAUUUCAAAAGUAGAUGAGGAUUUUAAAUGUGUUUAAAUGAAAUAGACUAAUAUUGUCUUUCCACUUCCCUGGGCUUGUUAGCUCCCUGUUAGCUAACGUGUGUGAUACACAGUACAGAUGUUCAUCGACGACAGAACUGAAGUGUUCUGAACCAGAAACGUAAACUCACUUCUACAACUGCGCCUGCGUCCUUUCGCACAGAAACUCGUUUUGAUUCAUGGUUCUAAAAGAACAACAGGUGGAAUAACGCGUGUUCUUUUUUGUCGACGACGACUUAGAGAAUGUCGUCUUUGUGUGUGGAAGUCGGUUUGUUUGUUUACUGAAUCGAGGGCCGUCCUCAUAGUCCGCCAAUGACCGGCUUGUAGAAGUGCUCAUUUUUACGUACUUCUUCUGACAAAAGCUCUUCAAUCUGAGAAAUGUGAGAAAGGAAAGGAUGUGCUCAGCAGACCAAUCACAGCUGUGUGAGGCUUGCAUAGUUUUUGACACUAGUCUAGAAAAAUUGGUCGAAGCAGCAAGAAGGGGUAAAAAAGCACGCAAGGGGCUUUUGCGUGUCCUUGCGUCUCUGUGAAAACGCACGAGCAUAAACUAGGCCUAAUUUGUGAUUCCCACCUACAAUAUAAUACAAUCUGUUUUGACAACAAAUUCCUGCAGAUCGACCCGCACAAACUAGCGUCAUCAUAUAUGCUCUGCUAACAGUACAGCACAGUACAGUGAGGUAGCUCCAAUUUGUUAGCAUGGUGCGCAGCCUCCGACGUACACAAACCCUCCUCCGACUCACACAAACCCUCCUCCGACGCACACAAACCCUCCUCCGACGCACACAAACCCUCCUCCGACGCACACAAACCCUCCUCCGACUCACACAAACCCUCCUCCGACUCACACAAACCCUCCUCCGACGCACACAAACCCUCCUCCGACUCACACAAACCCUCCUCCGACGCACACAAACCCUCCUCCGACUCACACAAAGCCUCCUCCGACUCACACAAACCCUCCUCCGACUCACACAAACCCUCCUCCGACGCACACAAACCCUCCUCCGACGCUUCAUCAGCACAAAAAGUUACAUGACCUUGUGAGCUGGUCAAACCAAACAGACUAUACAUGUAUUAUUCUGAUGCACCGCAUAACAGAAUCUGAUCAGGGUCUUCAGCGUCUACUUCCUUCCUGCGGUCAUUUUACUGGGUCCCCCCCCGUUUCCUGUGCAUUAGUAAGACAUCAGAGGACAAAACAGAUUCUUGACUCAUGUUUCUGGCUGCAGGAGACGGCAGGUAGUGUUCACAGCAGCAGCAAACACAUCCAGAGGCGAAUCUACUUUAACGCUGACAGUCGGCAACUUUCUGCUUCUUAUGAGAGAGGAAAGUGCAAAGCCUUGAUCGGGAUAAAGGCCGAGAUUUAGACUGUUAUAAUGAUCAUAGUCAAGGCACGGAAAGCGAGUAAGUAAAAUAUGAGAGUGUGUGCGUGUUUGUGUGCGUGUGCGCAAGCACUUCACUCACUCACUCAUUCAUACAUCGCACACUCACAACACACGCACACCUCUUCACAAUCAGAAAUCAACGCCUGGCUGCAGAAAGAAAAGAGAAUUCAUUAAACUCAGCCACCCACGCUGGGCCACAGAAUAGACUGAGGGGUGGCGAGGAAAGGAAGGCGUGGAGGAGGAUGACGAUGAGAGGGAGACAAGAUGGUGAGGAAGAGGAAGUGAAAGGGAGACGGAGGAGGGAAGGGUAGAAGGAGAGAGGAGACACCGUCCUCUUGGCACGAGCCCAUCAAAUGUAGUGAAUAGGACAGAAAAGCUGUCUUUGAACAGCGAAGGGAGGGUGAAGAAAUAACAGAACGUUAGAGGAGACAGGAGGGAAAGACUUGUGGUGAGCGAGGUGUCAGAUAAGAGUUAGUCUGAGACAGCACCCACACGAGAUCUUCAUCCCCAUGAGAUCUUCAUCCAAAUGAGAUCUUCAUCCACAUGAGAUCUUCACCCACACGAGAUCUUCAUCCACAUGAGAUCUUUAUCUACAUGAGAUCUUCAUCCCCACAAGAUCUUCAUCCCCAUGAGAUCUUCACCCACACAAGAUCUUCAUCCCCAUGAGAUCUUCAUCCACACGAGAUCUUCAUCCACACGAGAUCUUCAUCCACAUGAGAUCUUCAUCCACACGAGAUCUUCAUCCCCAUGAGAUCUUUAUCCACAUGAGAUCUUCAUCCACACAAGAUCUUCAUCCCCAUGAGAUCUGUAUCUACAUGAGAUCUUCAUCCCCAUGAGAUCUUCAUCCAAACGAGAUCUUUAUCCCCAUGAGAUCUAUUUCCACAUGAGAUCUUCGUUGUCAUGAGAUCUGUAUCUACAUGAGAUCUUUAUCUACAUGAGAUCUUCGUCCCAAUGAGAUCUUUAUUUACAUGAGAUCUUCAUUCCCAUGAGAUCUUCAUCCCCAUGAGAUCUUCAUCCACAUGAGAUCUUUAUCCACUUGAGAUGAUCAUCCACACGAGAUCUUCGUCCCCAUGAGAUCUGUAUCUACAUGAGAUCUUCAUCCCCAUGAGAUCUUGUCCCCAUGAGCUCUUUGUCCCCAUGAGAUCUUCAUCCCCAUGAGAUCUUCAUCCACUUGAGAUGAUCAUCCACUUAAGAUGAUCAUCCCUAUGAUAUCUUCAUCCACUUGAGAUGAUCAUCCACACAAGAUGUUUCACCCCAUGAGAUCUUUAUCCACAUGAGAUCUUCGUCCCCAUGAGAUCUGUAUCUACAUUAGAUCUUCAUCCCCAUGAGAUCUACAUCCCUAUGAGAUUUUCAUCCACUUGAGAUGAUCAUCCACACGAGAUCUUCACCCCCAUGAGAUCUUUAUCCACAUGAGAUUUUCGUCCCCAUGAGAUCUGUAUCUACAUGAGAUCUUCAUUCCUAUGAGAUCUUCACCCCCAUGAGAUCUUUAUCCACAUGAGAUUUUCGUCCCCAUGAGAUCUGUAUCUACAUGAGAUCUUCAUCCCUAUGAGGUUUUCAUCCACUUGAGAUGAUCAUCCACACGAGAUCUUCACCCCCAUGAUAUCUUUAUCCACAUGAGAUUUUCGUCCCCAUGAGAUCUGUAUCUACAUGAGAUCUUCAUUGCCAUAAAUAAUAAGUCAUUAUAAUGAGUAAUUAUAAUAAGUCAAAUGCAGAGUUUAGAGACAACAACGCAGCCGCGGCUGUUGGUUUUCUUCCUGGAAGCGGUCACAUGAUCGGAGUGUGACGAUUAAGGGAAGGACGCGUUACGACUGCUCACAACCAAUCGGGUGGCCAUGCGGAUCCGUCUUCAACCGUCCGCAACCCGUGAGCCCUUCAAACGGAUCCGUCCUCGGGAGCGUUUCCGUGUGGACGUGGAGCAAAACACAUACGUUUUAAAGUGGAAAGAGGCGAUGACGUCGCCUGACAUGGUAGCGCACACAAAGGCAAUGAGAGUUCUGUGGGUGUUCACACUGUCCCGAGACACGAUUGACACGUGGUGGCGUGUUGGCCGCGCCGUCACCUUUCCCCAAAGCUGACUGACAGCCAAUCAGAUAAUGUGCUCCUCGUCACCGACGUGUCAACCUUUCCCUCUCUGUCCUCAUCCCGGCCUAAUCCGCUAAUCUGUUUAACUAGAGCUGCUUCUGAAGUGGACAAAAGCCUAAUCUAAUUCCUAUUUAGCACUAAUUAAGAGAUUUCUGACCUUCCACCUUAUUAUGAUAACCAUCAGGCUUUAGGAAACCGUCCAACAGACGAGCCGCUGGAGACUCUGUGUGCGACAGCAGCGCUCAGAUAACAUGUAGAGACACUGGAGGAAGAAAUGAGAGGUUUCUCCAUCUGCCUCAGAGACACACACGCGCACACGCACACACACACACACACACACAAUCCACCUUAAGCCUUUUACUGUCCAGAAUGUCAGCAGCCAUCUCCAGCACCGCCGCCUGUCACACACAGGGAGAGAGAGAACGUGUGAGUGUGGGUGUGUGUGAAGUGUGUAUAGGUGAAGUGUGAGUGACUGUGUGUGUGUGUGUGUGUGUGUGUGUGUGUGUGUGUGUGUGUGUGUGUGUGUGUGUGUGUGUGUGUGUGUGUGUGUGUGAGAAAGAAAAAGCAACAGAGGGAGAGACAGAGACACAAUGUGAGGGACGAAGGGAGGGGUGUCCUUGAGAGAGGACAGAGGUGUUCAGCUGGAUCUGAUGAGACGGAGGAAACAACUGGAGCACACGCACACACACAUGCACACACGCACACACACGCACACACGCACACACGCACACACACGCACACACACACACACCACUGUUGCAUCGAUAACAUUCCUCCCGAGGAAGCAAAAAAAACAAUUCUGGGAUAAAUUCACAUGAAUCCAAAAUCCGCCUGACUAAAUCCGUUUGUCCCGUCCGACCCUCCACAGGCCUUUUAUUUUGGCGGUAGAGGACGGGCGAGAGCGGGUCGGGCCUCCACAUCAUUAUCAUCGGCCCCCUCCGAUGCGCCAGCACAAGAUGAAAGGAAAAGCCUCUCAUCUUCUCCCGUCACUGAGGCAGCGCAGAGCGGCGCUCUAACGGGCAUCUUGGUCCUGCGAUAAUCCUCCCAUUGAUCCACUUCACAGGGUUCGGUCUGCGCCGAGGCUUCUGGGUGGAGGGUUAAAGAUGCCGAGGAAUGUCAGUUUGAGCACAAUUGAUGAAGCCACGUGUUGGCCGAGUCGCACUUUACAGCGUCCCUUUCUUUGGCUUUCUCGCGACUUGUUUUCAAGGUCGUUGCUUGUGUGAGCAGCGUUAAUGUUUCAUGAGGUCUGCUGGCAUCGGCAUGGAUUCCACCCGGAUCAUCAUUUAGGCUUUUGUAAAGGAGGCAAAAAUAGGUUCCGCAUUUAGCACAAGCAAUUAAAAAGCACAUCCGCUGCAACAUGUAGGCUUGGUACGAGGGGGAAAUUAAUUCACCUUGUUUUCAACUUCCUUCCUUCCCUUUGAAGUCCAGAAAGGGGGGUUGUGGGUGUAGUGGGGGGGGGGACUGGAUGGGAGAAGGAGACGGUGGAGGGUGAGGAAGAAGAGAGGGAACAAUAGACCAGUGAGCCAUUACCUCAGCGCCCGCUGGCCUCCCCCUUCUCAACAUGUCCAUCUACUGCUGGCCUCCCCCUUCUCAACAUGUCCAUCUACUGCUGGCCUCCCCCUUCUCAACAUGUCCAUCUACUGCUGGUCUCCCCCUUCUCAACAUCUCCAUCUACUGCUGGCCUCCCCCUUCUCAACAUCUCCAUCUACUGCUGGCCUCCCCCUUCUCAACAUGUCCAUCUACUGCUGGCCUCCCCCUUCUCAACAUGUCCAUCUACUGCUGGUCUCCCCCUUCUCAACAUCUCCAUCUACUGCUGGCCUCCCCCUUCUCAACAUCUCCAUCUACUGCUGGCCUCCCCCUUCUCAACAUGUCCAUCUACUGCUGGUCUCCCCCUUCUCAACAUCUCCAUCUACUGCUGGUCUCCCCCAUUCUCAACAUCUCCAUCUACUGCUGGCCUCCCCCUUCUCAACAUCUCCAUCUACUGCUGGCCUC